UGUCGUCAGCUCGUGUCGUGAGAUGUCGGCUUAAGUGCCAUAACGAGCGCAACCCUCAUCAUUAGUUGCCAUCAGGUUAAGCUGGGGACUCUAAUGAGACUGCCAUCGUAAGAUGUGAGGAAGGUGGGGAUGACGUCAAAUCAGCACGGCCCUUACGUCCGGGGCGACACACGUGUUACAAUGGGUGGUACAAAGGGCAGCUACAUGGCAACAUGAUGCUAAUCUCUAAAACCACUCUCAGUUCGGAUCGGAGUCUGCAACUCGACUUCGUGAAGCUGGAUUCGCUAGUAAUCGCGCAUCAGCCACGGCGCGGUGAAUACGUUCCCGGGA
RNAcentral lists this ribosomal RNA (330 nucleotides) under uncultured bacterium. Its description in RNAcentral is "bacterial SSU rRNA". It matches the Rfam family "Bacterial small subunit ribosomal RNA", at positions 1050 to 1378 of the family's 1533-position model. The record is from RNAcentral.